UGUGUCUGUGUAAAGUGGUUGGCAUUAAGAAGGGCAUCCAGCUGUAGAAACCAAGUUAAAUCAGACUGCAACCUGGUACGGCUCUCCGAUUUACAAGUCCCAGUCAAACUGUCUUACCCAUGCCAG
Molecule: long non-coding RNA, 126 nt
Organism: Octopus sinensis (East Asian common octopus)
Lineage: Eukaryota; Metazoa; Mollusca; Cephalopoda; Octopoda; Octopodidae
Exons: 3
Source: RefSeq, a predicted model, not a curated record